UGCACCUCUCUAGGGAUCCAAGAGAUUGUGAAACUCCACCAGAUGGGAGCUCCUCUUGCUGCUUCAACAUCCAGCAGCUUGAUUUGGGGCGUGAAAAAGGGAUUGGGGUGGACACCAACCCAAACGCUGAAACUUCUCAAUGCAAAACUCUAUUUUGUCGACAUGCUCCUUGUCAAUCACAUAAGCAUUCCUCUGCUAGUCUUUUGGGUGAUCUAUUAAGACAUUAAGCACCCA
RNAcentral lists this long non-coding RNA (234 nucleotides) under Elaeis guineensis (African oil palm). Its description in RNAcentral is "long non-coding RNA (EGUI_LNC007805)". Lineage: Eukaryota; Viridiplantae; Streptophyta; Magnoliopsida; Arecales; Arecaceae. The record is from RNAcentral.